Molecule: ribosomal RNA, 301 nt
Filed under: uncultured bacterium
Lineage: Bacteria
Description: partial 16S ribosomal RNA
Rfam family: Bacterial small subunit ribosomal RNA
Source: RNAcentral
CAGCAGCCGCGGUAAUACGUAGGUGGCAAGCGUUGUCCGGAAUUAUUGGGCGUAAAGGGCUCGCAGGCGGUUUCUUAAGUCUGAUGUGAAAGCCCCCGGCUCAACCGGGGAGGGUCAUUGGAAACUGGGAAACUUGAGCGCAGAAGAGGAGAGUGGAAUUCCACGUGUAGCGGUGAAAUGCGUAGAGAUGUGGAGGAACACCAGUGGCGAAGGCGACUCUCUGGUCUGUAACUGACGCUGAGGAGCGAAAGCGUGGGGAGCGAACAGGAUUAGAUACCCCCGUAGUCCCUGUCUCUUAUAC